RNAcentral lists this ribosomal RNA (683 nucleotides) under Deontolaimus tardus. RNAcentral's name for it is "SSU rRNA". It matches the Rfam family "Eukaryotic small subunit ribosomal RNA", at positions 137 to 922 of the family's 1831-position model. Lineage: Eukaryota; Metazoa; Nematoda; Chromadorea; Plectida; Leptolaimidae. The record is from RNAcentral.
UACUUGGAUAACUGUGGUAAUUCUAGAGCUAAUACAUGCACGACGAGCGCAGUUAUUAGACAAAACCAAUUUUGGUGGAUCUGAAUAACUCACAGUCUUCGUACUGGCGACGAAUCUUUCAAGUGUMUGCCUUAUCAGCUGUCGAUGGUAGUCUACGUGGCUACCAUGGCUGUAACGGGUAACGGAGAAUAAGGGUUCGACUCCGGAGAGGGAGCCUGAGAAACGGCUACCACAUCCAAGGAAGGCAGCAGGCGCGCAAAUUACCCACUCUCGGCGAGGAGGUAGUGACGAAAAAUAACGAGGUGGUUCUCAUACUAUCGGAAUGGGUACAAUUUAAACCCUUUAACGAGGACCUAUGAGAGGGCAAGUCUGGUGCCAGCAGCCGCGGUAAUUCCAGCUCUCAAGGUGUAUAUCGCCAUUGCUGCGGUUAAAAAGCUCGUAGUUGGAUCUACUUUGGAGUGGGAUCACCCAAGUGGUGUUUUGCUGGUCACCCUUACGCCUUUAAUCGGGUGCUUUGGGUGGCUAGUGAGUUUACUUUGAAAAAAUUAGAGUGCUCAAGACAGGCUUUUCGCCUGAAUAGUGGYGCAUGGAAUAAUAGAAUAGGAGGUCCAUUUUAUUGGUUUUGGUCCCGAGAUAAUGGUUAAGAGGGACAGACGGGGGCAUUCGUAUCGCUGCGUGAGAGG